ACCGCCACGACCCCCAUUUCUACCGAUCCAGGUCACAUGUGAGCCAGAUCUCUCAUUGCUAUCGGUUUAAGACCGGUUCGGCAACUUGGUUUACGCUUUUUAAUCUGAGAUAGCCCCGCCCACCUGCUCUGUGUUGCCAGGUGUAAAUUUGUUGAAAUUAAGACUACAAUAGUAACCACAUAACCUGUUACCUAGCAAAGAAAAAUGGAUGAUUGAUAUUUGUUUUUAUUCUGAAUUAAAUAUAAUUUUCUUCGAAA
Molecule: long non-coding RNA, 257 nt
Organism: Silurus meridionalis
Lineage: Eukaryota; Metazoa; Chordata; Actinopteri; Siluriformes; Siluridae
Exons: 2
Source: RefSeq, a predicted model, not a curated record